GCGACCCCAGUCAGGCGGGAUAC
RNAcentral lists this ribosomal RNA (23 nucleotides) under Emblica officinalis (emblic). RNAcentral describes it as "Phyllanthus emblica partial 28S ribosomal RNA". The record is from RNAcentral. Lineage: Eukaryota; Viridiplantae; Streptophyta; Magnoliopsida; Malpighiales; Phyllanthaceae.